RNAcentral lists this ribosomal RNA (773 nucleotides) under uncultured Neocallimastigales. Its description in RNAcentral is "partial large subunit ribosomal RNA". It matches the Rfam family "Eukaryotic large subunit ribosomal RNA", at positions 26 to 635 of the family's 3401-position model. Lineage: Eukaryota; Fungi; Neocallimastigomycota; Neocallimastigomycetes; Neocallimastigales. The record is from RNAcentral.
CGCAUCUGUGCAUGCAGCAUAUCAAUAAGCGGAGGAAAAGAAACUAACAAGGAUUCCCUAGUAACGGCGAGUGAAGCGGGAAGAGCUCAAAUUUGAAAUCUUAAAGGUUUUCCCUUGACGAAUUGUAGUUUAAAGAAGUGUUUUCUGUUGAAGUUUUGGUAAAAGUUCUUUGGAAUAGGACAUCAUAGAGGGUGAGAAUCCCGUAUUUGACCUUUACUUUCAACUUUGUGAUACACUUCCAAAGAGUCGGAUUGUUUGGGAAUGCAGUCCAAAAUGGGUGGUAAAUUUCAUCUAAAGCUAAAUAUUGGCGAGAGACCGAUAGCGAACAAGUACCGUGAGGGAAAGAUGAAAAGAACUUUGAAAAGAGAGUUAAACAGUACGUGAAAUUGUCAAAAGGGAAGCGCUUGACACCAGUGUUGUUUUUCUGAAAAUCAAUUAAAGAACUGUUUAUGCUAAGUUGUUUAGACUUUAUCAGCUAACUGUUUAGUUUUGAGCAUUUCUUUAAUGCACUUUUCAGUUAACAAGUCAACAUCAAUUUCUUUUGCUGUAAAAAAGCUUGAGGAAGGUGGCUUGAGAUUCGUCUUAAGUGUUUAUAGCCUCUUGCCUAUGCAGUCGGAGAGAUUGAGGUCUGCAGCGUAGAUCCUUCGGGGCUAAAUGCAUUUGUGCUAAGUUAUAGCAUUUUAUAGACAACUUGUUGACUAUGAUUUGUCUUGUAGCUUACUCGCUUAUGUUAUUUUACCUACGCUUAGGAUGUUGAUAGUCACAGCGUGUAC